GGGCGUAGAGGGCUCGCAGGCGGUUUCUUAAGUCUGAUGUGAAAGCCCCCGGCUCAACCGGGGAGGGUCAUUGGAAACUGGGGAACUUGAGUGCAGAAGAGGAGAGUGGAAUUCCACGUGUAGCGGUGAAAUGCGUAGAGAUGUGGAGGAACACCAGUGGCGAAGGCGACUCUCUGGUCUGUAACUGACGCUGAGGAGCGAAAGCGUGGGGAGCGAACAGGAUUAGAUACCCUGGUAGUCCACGCCGUAAACGAUGAGUGCUAAGUGUUAGGGGGUUUCCGCCCCUUAGUGCUGCAGCUAACGCAUUAAGCACUCCGCCUGGGGAGUACGGUCGCAAGACUGAAACUCAAAGGAAUUGACGGGGGCCCGCACAAGCGGUGGAGCAUGUGGUUUAAUUCGAAGCAACGCGAAGAACCUUACCAGGUCUUGACAUCCUCUGACAAUCCUAGAGAUAGGACGUCCCCUUCGGGGGCAGAGUGACAGGUGGUGCAUGGUUGUCGUCAGCUCGUGUCGUGAGAUGUUGGGUUAAGUCCCGCAACGAGCGCAACCCUUGAUCUUAGUUGCCAGCAUUCAGUUGGGCACUCUAAGGUGACUGCCGGUGACAAACCGGAGGAAGGUGGGGAUGACGUCAAAUCAUCAUGCCCCUUAUGACCUGGGCUACACACGUGCUACAAUGGACAGAACAAAGGGCAGCGAAACCGCGAGGUUAAGCCAAUCCCACAAAUCUGUUCUCAGUUCGGAUCGCAGUCUGCAACUCGACUGCGUGAAGCUGGAAUCGCUAGUAAUCGCGGAUCAGCAUGCCGCG
This 805-nucleotide ribosomal RNA is filed under the name Bacillus subtilis. Its description in RNAcentral is "bacterial SSU rRNA". It matches the Rfam family "Bacterial small subunit ribosomal RNA", at positions 556 to 1361 of the family's 1533-position model. The record is from RNAcentral. Lineage: Bacteria; Bacillati; Bacillota; Bacilli; Caryophanales; Bacillaceae.